ACUCCUACGGGAGGCAGCAGUGGGGAAUAUUGCACAAUGGGGGAAACCCUGAUGCAGCCAUGCCGCGUGUGUGAAGAAGGCCUUCGGGUUGUAAAGACACUUUCUAGUAGGGAGGAAGGUAGUGUAGUUAACACCUGCAUUAUUUGUACGUUACCUACAGAAGAAGCACCGGCUAACUCCGUGCCAGCAGCCGCGGUAAUACGGAGGGUGCGAGCGUUAAUCGGAAUUACUGGGCGUAAAGCGCAUGCAGGCGGCCUGUUAAGUCAGAUGUGAAAGCCCGGGGCUUAACCUCGGAAUUGCAUUUGAAACUGGCAGGCUAGAGUCUUGUAGAGGGGUUAGAA
RNAcentral lists this ribosomal RNA (341 nucleotides) under uncultured bacterium. RNAcentral's name for it is "bacterial SSU rRNA". It matches the Rfam family "Bacterial small subunit ribosomal RNA", at positions 335 to 665 of the family's 1533-position model. The record is from RNAcentral.